This 467-nucleotide ribosomal RNA is filed under the name uncultured bacterium. RNAcentral's name for it is "partial 16S ribosomal RNA". It matches the Rfam family "Bacterial small subunit ribosomal RNA", at positions 29 to 507 of the family's 1533-position model. The record is from RNAcentral.
ACGCACGCUGGCGGCGUGCUUAACACAUGCAGGUCGAACGGAAAGGCCCUGCUUUUGUGGGGUGCUCGAGUGGCGAACGGGUGAGUAACACGUGAGUAACCUGCCCUUGACUUUGGGAUAACUUCAGGAAACUGGGGCUAAUACCGGAUAGGAGCUCCUGCUGCAUGGUGGGGGGUGGAAAGUUUCGGCGGUUGGGGAUGGACUCGCGGCUUAUCAGCUUGUUGGUGGGGUAGUGGCUUACCAAGGCUUUGACGGGUAGCCGGCCUGAGAGGGUGACCGGCCACAUUGGGACUGAGAUACGGCCCAGACUCCUACGGGAGGCAGCAGUGGGGAAUAUUGCACAAUGGGCGGAAGCCUGAUGCAGCAACGCCGCGUGCGGGAUGACGGCCUUCGGGUUGUAAACCGCUUUCGCCUGUGACGAAGCGUGAGUGACGGUAAUGGGUAAAGAAGCACCGGCUAACUACGUG